This 537-nucleotide ribosomal RNA is filed under the name uncultured eukaryote. Its description in RNAcentral is "bacterial SSU rRNA". It matches the Rfam family "Eukaryotic small subunit ribosomal RNA", at positions 618 to 1170 of the family's 1831-position model. The record is from RNAcentral.
GUUAAAAAGCUCGUAGUUGGACUUCUGUUCGAUUGUCUCCACUUAUUGUGUGACGAUAAAUUGAACAUCCCCUUUGAAAACCUGGCACCGUCUUAAGUGACGGGUUAGGGUUUCUUGGAAUUUACUUUGAAAAAAUUAGAGUGUUUCAAGCAGGCGAUUCGCUGGAAUACAUUAGCAUGGAAUAAUAGAAGAUGACCUCUGAGAUCAUUUUGUUGGUACAUUGGCGGGAGGUAAUGAUUAACAGGGACAGUUGGGGGCAUUAGUAUUUAAUUGUCAGAGGUGAAAUUCAUUGAUUAAUUAAAGACUAACUUAUGCGAAAGCAUUUGCCAAGGAUGUUUUCAUUAAUCAAGAACGAAAGUUAGGGGAUCAAAGACGAUCAGAUACCGUCCUAGUCUUAACCAUAAACUAUACCGACUAGGGAUUGGCGAGGACCUUUAAUGCCUCGUCAGCACCUUAUGAGAAAUCAAAGUCUUUGGGUUCCUGGGGGGAGUAUGGUCGCAAGGCUGAAACUUAAAGGAAUUGACGGAAGGGCACCAC